RNAcentral lists this ribosomal RNA (500 nucleotides) under uncultured bacterium. Its description in RNAcentral is "bacterial SSU rRNA". It matches the Rfam family "Bacterial small subunit ribosomal RNA", at positions 8 to 518 of the family's 1533-position model. The record is from RNAcentral.
AGGGUUCGAUUCUGGCUCAGGAUGAACGCUGGCGGCGUGCCUAACACAUGCAAGUCGAACGGGGUUAAGUGAUGUUUCGGAUGGAUCUUAACUUAGUGGCGGACGGGUGAGUAACGCGUGGGGAACCUGCCCUGUACUGGGGGAUAACAGUGAGAAAUCACUGCUAAUACCGCAUAAGCGCACAGCAUCGCAUGAUGCAGUGUGAAAAACUGAGGUGGUACAGGAUGGCUCCGCGUUGGAUUAGCCAGUUGGCGGGUAACGGCCCACCAAAGCGACGAUCCAUAGCCGGCCUGAGAGGGUGAACGGCCACAUUGGGACUGAGACACGGCCCAGACUCCUACGGGAGGCAGCAGUGGGGAAUAUUGCACAAUGGGGGAAACCCUGAUGCAGCCGACGCCGCGUGAAGGAAGAAGUAUCUCGGUAUGUAAACUUCUAUCAGCAGGGAAGAUGAUGACGGUACCUGACUAAGAAGCCCCGGCUAACUACGUGCCAGCCGCUGC